AGUGCAAUUGCUAGAUCACAUGGUUGUUGUAUUUUUAGUGUUUUAAGGAAAUGAUCAUAGUGCUUUCCAGAGACUGAACCAUUUUACAUUCCACCAGCCAU
RNAcentral lists this microRNA precursor (101 nucleotides) under Marmota monax (woodchuck). Lineage: Eukaryota; Metazoa; Chordata; Mammalia; Rodentia; Sciuridae. The record is from RNAcentral.